Nycticebus coucang (slow loris) is the source of this 107-nucleotide small nuclear RNA. Lineage: Eukaryota; Metazoa; Chordata; Mammalia; Primates; Lorisidae. The record is from RefSeq and is a predicted model, not a curated record.
GUGUUCACUUUGGCAGCACUUAUACUGAAAUUGGAACAAUACAGAGAAGAUUAACAUGGCCCCUGUGCAAGGAUGGUACACAAAUUCAUGAGGCAGUCCAUAUUUUU